CUGGACAGAGCACAGAAUUGCUUCUUAAGUCAGCCCGGCGCGGUUGCAAUAGACAGCAAAAAGGUAAACGUUUGCCUGAAAUCCGCACGCCAGCUCCACCGCCCCGCCCGAUGGUCCCAGUUCCUCUGGGAAUCGUCCUGUAUGCAACAUCUUCACAAGAGUGGCAGGCAGUUGAAUCUCUGGCCUUCGUGGGACCACUGGACAUCUGGCAGAGAACCAGGAAACCACGGUUCCCUUCUGUGAGUCCCUCAGCCGGAAAACUACAAGAUGAGUGUAAGGCCAUUAUCAUGGACUUUUUCCCCAGCUGCAGGUGAUGGUCUUGUUUUCCCAAGCUGCUACAGAGCUUCUGCAGCUCCAAGCAUGACCACUAUAUUUGGCUGCUUAAAAGCAUAACAAGGGCAGAAAUCAUAAAGGCUUUGCCCAGAGGGCCUUGAUUGUCCUUGCCUUCUUGUCCUUUGGUGAGAACUUCAUUGGUGGUGGCUCCAAAAAUCAGGAGACUUUCUGUGAUGAAUUCACCAUAAGAACGUGGGACCCAGCCUCCCUUGAAGGACGUCCUAUAUGAUGCCUGUUUCCAAGGGAAGAAGUAAAGUCAAGAA
Molecule: long non-coding RNA, 596 nt
Filed under: Homo sapiens (human)
Lineage: Eukaryota; Metazoa; Chordata; Mammalia; Primates; Hominidae
Description: non-protein coding NR2F2-AS1:46
Source: RNAcentral